AGCGUGCCUUUUGUAGAAUGAACCGGCGAGUUACGAUCCCAUGCAAGGUUAAGUUGAUAAGACGGAGCCGCAGCGAAAGCGAGUCUGAAUAGGGCGACCGAGUAUGUGGUUGUAGACCCGAAACCAGGUGAUCUACCCAUGUCCAGGGUGAAGGUGAGGUAACACUUACUGGAGGCCCGAACCCACGUACGUUGAAAAGUGCGGGGAUGAGGUGUGGGUAGCGGAGAAAUUCCAAUCGAACCUGGAAAUAGCUGGUUCUCUCCGAAAUAGCUUUAGGGCUAGCGUCGAUGUUAAGUCUCUUGGAGGUAGAGCACUGUUUGAUUGAGGGGUCCAUCCCGGAUUACCGAAUUCAGACAAACUCCGAAUGCCAAUGAUUUAUACGCGGGAGUCAGACUGCGAGUGAUAAGAUCCGUAGUCAAAAGGGAAACAGCCCAGACCACCAGCUAAGGUCCCAAAGUAAUCGUUAAGUGGAAAAGGAUGUGACGUUGCUUAGACAACCAGGAUGUUGGCUCAGAAGCAGCCAUCAUUUAAAGAGUGCGUAAU
Molecule: ribosomal RNA, 543 nt
Filed under: Acinetobacter baumannii
Lineage: Bacteria; Pseudomonadati; Pseudomonadota; Gammaproteobacteria; Moraxellales; Moraxellaceae
Description: partial 23S ribosomal RNA
Rfam family: Bacterial large subunit ribosomal RNA
Source: RNAcentral